This is a long non-coding RNA of Eriocheir sinensis (Chinese mitten crab), 928 nucleotides long. RefSeq lists it as uncharacterized. Lineage: Eukaryota; Metazoa; Arthropoda; Malacostraca; Decapoda; Varunidae. The transcript is spliced from 3 exons. The record is from RefSeq and is a predicted model, not a curated record.
AAUUGUUACUCGAUCCAUGUGUUUGUGGGCGGAGUCUAGAUAGGUGGGUUUUGGCCCUGGGUUGACCCGCGGGGCGCGGACACGCACUGUCACGCACGCAGUAGUGGGGGGAACUUUGGGCACUGAAGAACCUCAGGCGCGCCACAACGCGCGUUGUGAGAAGUAUUUCACGAGCAGAGGAGCACAAGUGCUAAUUGGGCAGCCAGGAAUAAAGGGUCUACACCUUCUCUUCUUAGUGAGGGCAAAGACAGACCGUGGAUGAGCUUGCUGUCUCGUCGGUUGGCUGAUAAGGGAAUACGCUGCUGUGGAGUCCAGAGGAUUAUGAAGAAACCCUGUGAGGAAGAAUAGCAACAACCCAGACAGCUGAGAGAGCCUGGAAGUUGCUGCUGCACUCCACACCCGCAGGAUUGGUCCUCUUCAACCUCAAGCGGUUGCCAUGGCUCUUGACUACCUGCCAGCCCCCAUCUUGUGGCGGUGUACUAUGUACAUCACCUGUCUGAGGACCUGAUGAACGAAGGAUUCGACUUUCCUUCCUCAUGGCCUCCACAGUCCUCUCCAACUCUUCUAUUCUCUCCAAGAGAGAAUUCACCAACUCAACUGUACCCCCACCAGCCCCAUCACCUCCCCUCACUGCACCACUGUAACUCAUCCCACCAGACGUGGUCAACCCAAGAGCUAGUCAGAGCACGUCCUAUCACCUUGAAGACCUGAGGUGAACUGUAGACCUGAGUUGAACAGUCUAUGGAAAUCCCAGCUACUUCCACAAGAGCCUUUUCAAACAGUCGUAGUGAGGUGCAGAUACGUUAAGGAAUAUGGACUAGAGACAGCAUCACCCCAGAGUGCAGUUGAACCACUUGUAAUACAGCCCCUCCCCAGCUCCUCACCACCUUUCCUGGGAGGUUGUUGCUGUUCAUUAAUCCACGGUGGU